Molecule: ribosomal RNA, 468 nt
Filed under: uncultured bacterium
Lineage: Bacteria
Description: bacterial SSU rRNA
Rfam family: Bacterial small subunit ribosomal RNA
Source: RNAcentral
GGAACUGAGAACGGUCCAUACUCCUACGGGAGGCAGCAGUAGGGAAUUUUCGGCAAUGGGGGGAACCCUGACCGAGCAACGCCGCGUGAACGAAGAAGUUAUUCGUAAUGUAAAGUUCUUUUAUCAGGGAAGAAAGAGGAAUUUGACGGUACCUGAGGAAUAAGCUCCGGCUAACUACGUGCCAGCAGCCGCGGUAAUACGUAGGGAGCGAGCGUUAUCCGGAAUUAUUGGGCGUAAAGGGUGCGUAGAUGGCAUAGUAAGUCUUUUGUAAAAAUGCUGGGCUCAACCCAGUAGGGCAAAAGAUACUGCAAAGCUAGAGUAUGACAGAGGCAAGUGGAACUACAUGUGUAGCGGUAAAAUGCGUAAAUAUAUGUAAGAACACCAGUGGCGAAGGCGGCUUGCUGGGUCGAUACUGACAUUGAGGCACGAAAGCGUGGGGAGCAAACAGGAUUAGAUACCCUGGUAGUC